Molecule: long non-coding RNA, 860 nt
Filed under: Callithrix jacchus (white-tufted-ear marmoset)
Lineage: Eukaryota; Metazoa; Chordata; Mammalia; Primates; Cebidae
Description: lncRNA (ENSCJAG00000074961.1)
Source: RNAcentral
CUCAGUUCCUUGUCAGAAGGUUAGCAGCCUGUUGCCAAUAAUGCAGGGGAUAAAAGAAAAGCUCAAACUUCUGUGCUUGAUGUCAAAGACUUGGAUUUAAUGGGAAGAGUUACUUUUUCCUUGGCUUAAAGGAAGAAGACACAAGCUCAGAGUGCAAUGGCGCAAUCUCAGGUCACUGCAACCUCCAUCUCCCGGGUUCAAGCGAUUCUUCUGCCUCAGCCUCCCAGAUAUUUUUCAGACCUCACAUUCUGAUGCACCAGCUUCUCCUGGCCCCAGACCAGUUGAGUAAUCUGGCUCAACCAGUUCUUCAAUCCCCCCCAGGGACAGAAGGCCACAUGAAGAACCUGCUUCAACUCCCUGUGAUUUAAUCUCCAGUCCAAGUAAUCAGCAUUCCCCACUCCCUAACCUUCUGCCCACCAAAUUAUCCUUAAAAUACCCUAGUCGCUGAAUCUUUUUCGGGUAAACUGAUUUGAGUAGCAAAAUUCUGGUCUCCUAUUUAGCCAGCUCUGUGUGCAUUAAACAUUUUCUCUGUUGCAAUUUCCCUGUCUUGAUAUCGGCUCUAUCUGGGCAGCAGGCAAGAAGAAAUCACUGGGCAGUUACAUAAAACCCUAGCUUUCAUAUGACUGAAAGUCUGCAGAAUACCAAAGAUAACUGAAUGUAAUUUUUAUUGCAUACAUCUGGGUGUUUUGUUAAUCAGCUAGCAAAGUUUAAAUGAGUAAUAAAGACAGGUAUAACUAAUAAAUUAUUAUACUUAUCCCCACCUCCAAUUUUUUGCUUAAUUUAUUUCAGCCAAAACGGUAACAUUGCUGUUAUAAUCAAGGUUUUUCCAAAUAAUUUGGUAUUAUUAACAGUAACUAUCU